GAGGUUUUUCCAUGUAACAUCAACAGAAAGCAAAGCUGUAUCAAAUAGGGCCAAAUUCAAGAAGAUGCCAGUGAAGCACUAGGGCACAGCCUUGAUCACAAACCCCAAAGGAAUACUACUUUAAAUUUUAAAACUGCUCAAUUAAUAUGAAUAAGUGAGGUGGUUUGUGUUUGCUUAGUACAAUGCAAAUCACUGAGGAUGUUUGCAGGAAACCUGUUCUCCUUGAUAACUCCUGCUGUCUCUGCAACACCUGCAAAGAUCUUUCCCUGCUAGAGGAGAAACAAGUGGCCUAGAAGAAAAGAGUUCCUCUUUUCCCAACUAUCUGGGACACUUUAAAUAAUGUUGUUUCAAAAUGACAAGAAUGGCGACAUGUUUAUAUCUGCUGUUCCUUUUUGGGUUGGCCUCAUGAGGCAGUUCUUACUGUCAAAUCUUCCACAGCAGGAUGUGUGCACAGAAGAUUACUGCAGGCACUACCCAGAGGAUUAAAAAAAUACAUAUUACAUAUCAUAGGAAAACAGGACAGCUCUUCUAUGUUCUCCGUAGAGGGUCAGAAAUAGGAUGUGUUAUACACCUAGGUUUAUGUCUGCACAGUUUAUGUCCUGCAGCAUGCUGAUUUGAAUAUAUUUAAAGGAAACAAGAAGGAGUUAUGUGGUGGGAGAAAGGUAAAGAAAUAAAAUUAAGUGACAGGUGUAUAUUAGUUUGCUAGGGCUGCAGUAAUAAGGAACCAUGAAUUGAGUGGCUUAAAACAUCAGAAAUGUAUUGUCUCAUGGUUCUGGAGGCUAGAAGUUCAAGAUCAAGUUGCCGGCAGGGUUGGGCCCUUCUAAAGACUGGGAGCGACACUGUUUCAUGCCUCUCCCCUAGCUUCUGAUGGGUAGCUGGCAAUCUUGGCAUCUUCUGGCUUGUAGACACAUUAUCCUGAUCUCUGCUAUUAUCUUCACAUGAAGUUCUCAUGAUGUUCUCCCUGUGUGUCUAUCUGUGUGUCCAAAUUUCACCUAUUUAUGAGGACACCAGUCAUAGUGAAGUCACUAUGACCUCGUCUUAACUCAUUAAAUUUGCAAUGUUCUAUUUCCAAAUAAGGUCACAUUCUGAGGUACAGGGAGUUAGGACUUCAACAUAUGAAUGAGGACUGGGGGGUAGCACAAUGCAACCCAUGCCACAGAACUCUAAAGCGCAUGGCCAUGGAAAAGGACACUAGUAAUAAGUUACGGAAACUACUCAGUCCAGUAUCUGGGCAGAAUCACUAUUCCAUAUAAGGUAAGUGGAGGAUUAUCAUCAUUCUUAUUUUUAUUUUGUUUUGGUUUGGUUUUUCACCUUCUUUUCCUAAUCUGAUCAAAGUACAGGCCAUUUCUAGAAUUCUUUUUCCAAAAGUUCUUCACCUCCAAAGCAAUAAAAUAUAAGCUAUAUCAGAUCUUUGGAUGCCACAGAGUCUAUACUCUUCUAAAAUCACAAUAUAGGCAUAAAGUAAACUUUUGGUAUUUGAUGUCUCUUGACUAUUCAGUUACUGACUUUGUCCCUUUGUCCUCCCUUCAGGUUUUGUGUGUUUUAUGGCAUGUUUAUAAAAACCUGAGAAUAUAGUUUUCUCAUCUGUAAAAUGGGGCUAUGACUAUUUGCCUUACAACAGUAUUACAGGGGCAGAUAUAGCCAUGGGCGAAAACCAUAUAAAAGUUCAAAAGUACCAAGUAUUGAUAAGGGUAGGAACCAACAUUAACUCACUGUUUGUAAGAUUAGAAAUGGAAAUAAUCACUCUGGGAAUAUUGGUAAUAUAUAAUAAAGCUGAAAAUAUAGAUACCCUACUUAAAGCUAAAUAUACAUACUUCCUCUGACCCAGCAAUUCCAUCCUCCAUAAUUGCAAGCUUAUGUACACCAAGAUAUAUGCAAAAAAAAAAAAAAUGGUCAUAGCAUAGAACUUCAAACCCAGAUGUUAUAGAAUGGAGUUUUAAAAUUGUAGCAUAUUCAUAUAAUGGUUACUAAAUCACAAUAAAAAUAAGUGAACUAUGAAUAUAUGGAACAGUGUGGAUAAUUCAUAGAUAUGUAAGUUGUAUAAAAGGAAAUUAGGAAAAUAGAAUAUGCAUUGUGCCAGCAUUUACAUGAAAUUUGAAAUCUGAUUAACGAAACUAUUCAUGAAUUUAUUUAUUUAUGGAUAAAACUAUAGAGAAAAGCAAGGAAGUAUUAUGAAAGACAGGAGAGUUUCUGUUAGAGGGGAAGAAGUAAUUAUGAUUGGGAAGAGACAUGGGGAAAAUCCAGGCUGCUGGUUAUGUUAUAAUGCCUUGAUGUGGGUAGGUGUUUUAUCUGUGUUCAUUUAUAAUUACUCCGAGGUUAACCAUUUAUGUUUUAUUCAAUUUCCUAUUCUUCUAUCUGUAUUAUAAAAUAAAUGAAAAAAAUAUACAAUCACAUAUAUAAUGCACCUAAGAUAGUGUGUGGUAGCUAUUAGGUGCUUUAAAAAAAAAGGAUAGCAAUUCCCACCCCCAUCGCCACCUCCUGGAGAAUAAAAGAUAGGUGAAAAUGAUAUGCAAAAUACCAUAUUUUAAAGGUUUUAACUAAAAGCAAUGGACUCACUUAGGUUGCUUUUCAUAUAGGAGAAGUAAAAUGUAUUUAUUUGGGAAGGAGACUCUCAGGGAAUCCACUACUUGAGGAAAUUCAACAUGAGAGUCAUCAGCAGAUGUCAAACAGACCUUCAACCUCAUUUAGAAAUCUUGAAAUUCAAUAUUCAGACUCAUGCAGCAAAUGGGCACAUGGGGUUUGGGGGGGAUUAGGAAAGAGGUCUACACACCCUAUUUAAUGAUGUAGAGCUGCUCUUCCAGGCAGUGGUGCUCAAAGAGGCCCCCACUGCUUGUAUUUAAAUGAGAUUCUGGCACAGCAGCGAGGUGAAUGGUGGAUCAACGCCUAAAGCAGCAAUCUACUAAACAUCUCCGUGACUGGGGAAACCCCAAAGGGCUACAUCCAAACCUUCGUACCUGCAGCCAUUAAUGACUUCUAGAGGAGCAGAGCUCAGGGAGGGACAACAAUAGGUGAGAAGUCAAUUUAAUUUUCAUUCCCUGCCAGACCAUAUUCUUAACAUAACCCAAUGAGAAUUUAUGUCAGAUGCACAUUGUAUAUCUGUCCCUGAUUUAAAUGGCAGAUCUCGUCUCCAUUUCAGAUUCAUUCUUGGGCCUUUAGCUGCAUUUAUUGAAAAGUGGCUGUAUUCACUAUGAACCAAUUUUUCCCUUGGGUUUUAUUACUGAAAUCAUCAAAAUAAAUCACCUAGAAUGCUCCAUCCUACCUGGUUUGAAAGCCAUUGGGGAAACGGUGAAAUUCUUUUUUUAAAAAAAUACAUACUAGAAACACGUUUGUGCACCUGAGACAAUGAUUAGCUAUUGAAUUGAAAUUGCUUUACAUGUCAUAAGGAAAAGUACUAUUUAAACAAGAGUAGCAUUGGAACAGACGGUGGACAUCAAUCCUUAGGAUAUUAACCUGUGAACCAGAGGAUUACAAUAGCAUGCCAAUUUUCACAAACUAGUUCUGGUGUUUGGAAUUAGUCUUCCUUUUCUAUGUUCUUUUUGUCCUAGUUUUUCCGGGAUGAAAAAAAGGAAAGAAAAAUAAAGGCUACCCUGCAAGAGCCCCCUUUGUUAACACACACUGUUUGCAUCCUGGCUCAAGUGUGAAUCCUCCUACCAAGCUGUAAAUCUUCACUCCUGCUUUUCUACAGAAUCCAAGAACAACUUUGUUUGCAAACUUGCUUUGGAAAUGAGAGUGAGGUAAGUUUUCCAGUGUCUGACAGCUAGGAAGUACCAGGACACUGUAUCUCAAAGACUCCAAGUUGAGACCUUUCCUGUGUGCCACAAUGCCGGAACAAACUCCCUCCCCGAGUACGAGAUUCCAGAAGCAGAACCGUGGACAAUUUUUAAACUCAGAAAGCCUCCUGUGGAGUUGGGACUCACAGCUCACAGCCACGAAAUCACUGUCCAUUAACUGUUUGGUUUCCUGAGAGCAGAGAUUAGGGAUCCUCAGUCUUGCCUGUAUAUCAAUACCACCUGGGACCACUCAGACCAGGUGAAUCAAUGUCCCUGCAGGUUGGGCCCAGGUAAUGGUUUAUUACGUGUUCUAUGUAAGUUUAGGGUAUAACCAAGUGGUUAGAAUUACUAACUAAAUCAAACCUCUUUACUGACCAAUUACAUUAGAAUGUAAAUUCUC
Molecule: long non-coding RNA, 4170 nt
Filed under: Homo sapiens (human)
Lineage: Eukaryota; Metazoa; Chordata; Mammalia; Primates; Hominidae
Description: HSALNT0292435
Source: RNAcentral